GAACACUGGAAAUCACAACACAUCACAACAUCGGUGGAACGGCUCAGUUCUCAGUUGACCGAAAAACACAAGGAACACCAACCUGUAUAUACACAACAUCUGUAAGAGUCACUAUGUGACUCCGUAAGGGUUCCACACCCAUUCACACACACCAAGAGAGAGACCUCAUCAUCUUGCUCACGAGAUCAUCAGGUUGAGCAGAUGAUUCAUCAUCACAAGCUCUGGUGAAUCCUCACUGAGAUUAUACAUGAGAAGACACAGAUUUUAAAAUAUUUUUACAAUGGAACGACAAAAGACAAAAAAUUUCUUGUUUCCUGGAUGAUGAUCUAUUAGGCCUAAAACAAAAAAAAAAUAAAUAUUGACAUCCAGGCCUGGAUUUGCAGAGACACCAGAAAGCUAAGUUCUCAGGGAUGUGACAGAGAGGCACGAAAGGCUCACCAGCCAAAGACAGCCUUCACCAAUGGAUUCACACAGAGACUGUGGAACAAGUUGGUCAGCGGACCAUUUCUGCAAUGGCAUGCAGAAGAAACGUCCCAUUACACGAUGCAAAAGUGCUUAUUAUGCUACUUCUAGAC
Molecule: long non-coding RNA, 575 nt
Organism: Tachysurus vachellii
Lineage: Eukaryota; Metazoa; Chordata; Actinopteri; Siluriformes; Bagridae
Exons: 3
Source: RefSeq, a predicted model, not a curated record